AUAUCAAGUAUCCCCGAUAAAUACUGAGCGGCAUAUUUGGAAUUCACUCCUCGUCAUGCUUUUUUAGUUUCUCUUUGGUCAGCCUAAAUUACUCGCUCUGGUCAAUUUUCUAUUCUUUGAAAUAUACCUGCGGUGACAUGACCCACGCCGUCGUAUGUUGGGAGGACGAAAACUAUUUUGAAUUCGGAACAACGUUCGAAGAUGUAUCGACCCUAUCCGAUUUAAAGCAUUAAAGGAUUACACAACGGAAAUUUUCGGCCUGAAGCCAAAUACUGUUGAGUGGUUAACUUUUGAAAAGAAGCUUCACAAUAUUCCUGGGGAUGCCAGAAAGAAGAUGAAUCGUCUCACAGGUCUGGCUGGAAAUUCUACGAUCAUGUCGCCGGAAUUCAGUUGUUCGAAUUCCGAUGAUUCAGAAACGAGAGUUGAGGAGUAUCUCAACUUGGUAGGGGAGAAUUAAGAAUAGUAUAAAAUUUAUUAAUUGGAUUCUUGUAUAAAUAAAUACAUUGAAUUUUUAAUAGUCG
Folsomia candida is the source of this 521-nucleotide long non-coding RNA. RefSeq lists it as uncharacterized. The transcript has 2 exons. Lineage: Eukaryota; Metazoa; Arthropoda; Collembola; Entomobryomorpha; Isotomidae. The record is from RefSeq and is a predicted model, not a curated record.